GAGACUUUAGUUUAAAGGUAAAACGUAUGACUUUUAAUCAUUUUUAUAUGGGUUCAAAUCCCAUAAGUCUUA
RNAcentral lists this transfer RNA (72 nucleotides) under Ophidiomyces ophidiicola. RNAcentral describes it as "tRNA-Lys". It matches the Rfam family "tRNA". Rfam says of the family: Transfer RNA (tRNA) molecules are approximately 80 nucleotides in length. The record is from RNAcentral. Lineage: Eukaryota; Fungi; Ascomycota; Eurotiomycetes; Onygenales; Onygenaceae.